GGAGACGGCGGGGAGAAGGAGAAGGGCAAGGCUCCGGAGGUCAGGCUCUCCAGUCUGGCCCUUCCUCUUCUUUUCCUCUCUCC
MicroRNA precursor from Anolis carolinensis (green anole), 83 nucleotides. The record is from Ensembl. NCBI's taxonomy places the organism in Eukaryota, Metazoa, Chordata, Lepidosauria, Squamata, Anolidae.